Molecule: long non-coding RNA, 203 nt
Filed under: Malus domestica (apple)
Lineage: Eukaryota; Viridiplantae; Streptophyta; Magnoliopsida; Rosales; Rosaceae
Description: long non-coding RNA (MDOM_LNC003495)
Source: RNAcentral
GGGUGAUUCGAAACCAUGUUCAUACUUGCAAUAUGAUUUGAUUACAUCCAGUUGUGAAUUCAAUUUACUUAUCCGAUCGUAUAAAAAAUGAUUUGUGUAUGUUGGUUGAGAGUGCACGCUUAAUUUUUAUGAUGAAUUUAACGCUAGAAUAUAAGGGAGUUUCACCUAAUCGUUAUGAACUUAUAUUCACAAGUAGUGAAGGU